RNAcentral lists this ribosomal RNA (253 nucleotides) under uncultured bacterium. RNAcentral's name for it is "partial 16S ribosomal RNA". It matches the Rfam family "Bacterial small subunit ribosomal RNA", at positions 524 to 776 of the family's 1533-position model. The record is from RNAcentral.
UACGAGUGCCUCGAGCGUUAUCCGGAAUUAUUGGGCGUAAAGAGCUCGUAGGCGGUCUGUCGCGUCUGCUGUGAAAACUCAGGGCUUAACCCUGGGCUUGCAGUGGGUACGGGCAGACUAGAGUGCGGUAGGGGAGACUGGAAUUCCUGGUGUAGCGGUGAAAUGCGCAGAUAUCAGGAGGAACACCGGUGGCGAAGGCGGGUCUCUGGGCCGAAAUUGACGCUGAGGAGCGAAAGCGUGGGGAGCAAACAGG